UACGAAGGGGGCUAGCGUUGCUCGGAAUCACUGGGCGUAAAGGGUGCGUAGGCGGGUCUUUAAGUCAGGGGUGAAAUCCUGGAGCUCAACUCCAGAACUGCCUUUGAUACUGAGGAUCUUGAGUUCGGGAGAGGUGAGUGGAACUGCGAGUGUAGAGGUGAAAUUCGUAGAUAUUCGCAAGAACACCGGUGGCGAAGGCGGCAUCCUGGACCGACACUGACGCUGAGGAGCGAAAGCCAGGGGAGCAAACGGG
RNAcentral lists this ribosomal RNA (253 nucleotides) under uncultured bacterium. Its description in RNAcentral is "partial 16S ribosomal RNA". It matches the Rfam family "Bacterial small subunit ribosomal RNA", at positions 524 to 776 of the family's 1533-position model. The record is from RNAcentral.